GUGGGCGUGGCCGAGUGGUUAAGGCGAUGAGAAAUGAUCCAUUGGAGUCUCCCCGCACAGGUUCGAAUCCUGUCGACUGCG
RNAcentral lists this transfer RNA (81 nucleotides) under Ixodes scapularis (black-legged tick). It matches the Rfam family "tRNA". Rfam says of the family: Transfer RNA (tRNA) molecules are approximately 80 nucleotides in length. Their secondary structure includes four short double-helical elements and three loops (D, anti-codon, and T loops). Further hydrogen bonds mediate the characteristic L-shaped molecular structure. tRNAs have two regions of fundamental functional importance: the anti-codon, which is responsible for specific mRNA codon recognition, and the 3' end, to which the tRNAs corresponding amino acid is attached (by aminoacyl-tRNA synthetases). tRNAs cope with the degeneracy of the genetic code in two manners: having more than one tRNA (with a specific anti-codon) for a particular amino acid; and 'wobble' base-pairing, i.e. permitting non-standard base-pairing at the 3rd anti-codon position. Lineage: Eukaryota; Metazoa; Arthropoda; Arachnida; Ixodida; Ixodidae. The record is from Rfam by way of RNAcentral.